This 495-nucleotide ribosomal RNA is filed under the name uncultured bacterium. RNAcentral describes it as "bacterial SSU rRNA". It matches the Rfam family "Bacterial small subunit ribosomal RNA", at positions 29 to 524 of the family's 1533-position model. The record is from RNAcentral.
AACGAACGCUGGCGGCAGGCCUAAUACAUGCAAGACGAACGGUAAGUUGAGUAGCAAUACUUAGCCAAGAGUGUCGUACGGGUGCGUAACACGUAUGCAACCUACCCUAUACAGGAGGAUAGCCUAGGGAAACCUGGAUUAACCCUUCAUAGUAUUAUUGGAUGGCAUCAUUUGAUAAUUAAAACUGAGGUGGUAUAGGAUGGGCAUGCGUCUGAUUAGUUAGUUGGCGGGGUAAUGGCCCACCAAGACGAUGAUCAGUAGGGGUUCUGAGAGGAAGAUCCCCCACACUGGCACUGAGAUACGGGCCAGACUCCUACGGGAGCAGCAGUAGGGAAUAUUGGUCAAUGGAUGCAAGUCUGAACCAGCCAUGCCGCGUGCAGGAAGAAGGCCUUCUGGGUUGUAAACUGCUUUUGCCGAGGGAUAAAUUCCAUGCGUGGAAACUGAAGUACCUGGUGAAUAAGCCACGGCUAACUACGUGCCAGCAGCCGCGGUAAU